Molecule: ribosomal RNA, 401 nt
Filed under: uncultured microorganism
Description: bacterial SSU rRNA
Rfam family: Archaeal small subunit ribosomal RNA
Source: RNAcentral
GUGCAGCAGGCGCGAAACCUCCGCAAUGCGGGCAACCGCGACGGGGGACCCCCAGUGCCGUGGCAUCGCCACGGCUUUUCCGGAGUGUAAAAAGCUCCGGGAAUAAGGGCUGGGCAAGGCCGGUGGCAGCCGCCGCGGUAAUACCGGCGGCCCGAGUGGUGGCCGCUAUUAUUGGGCCUAAAGCGUCCGUAGCCGGGCCUGUAAGUCCCUGGCGAAAUCCCACGGCUCAACCGUGGGGCUUGCUGGGGAUACUGCAGGCCUUGGGACCGGGAGAGGCCGGGGGUACCCCUGGGGGUAGGGGUGAAAUCCUAUAAUCCCAGGGGGACCGCCAGUGGCGAAGGCGCCCGGCUGGAACGGUCCGACGGUGAGGGACGAAGGCCAGGGGAGCGAACCGGAUUAGA